Molecule: non-coding RNA, 61 nt
Organism: Serinicoccus sp. CNJ-927
Lineage: Bacteria; Bacillati; Actinomycetota; Actinomycetes; Micrococcales; Ornithinimicrobiaceae
Source: Rfam
CCGGGUCAGUCCUUUACGACGGAUCGUCCGGCACGUACCUGCCGGUGAAGGAGAAGCAACA